UACAGAGGUCUCGAGCGUUGUUCGGAUUCAUUGGGCGUAAAGGGUGCGUAGGUGGCGGGGUAAGUCAGGUGUGAAAUCCCGGGGCUCAACCCCGGAACUGCAUUUGAUACUGCCUUGCUCGAGUACUGGAGAGGAGACUGGAAUUUACGGUGUAGCAGUGAAAUGCGUAGAUAUCGUAAGGAAGACCAGUGGCGAAGGCGAGUCUCUGGACAGUUACUGACACUGAGGCACGAAGGCCAGGGGAGCAAACGGG
This 253-nucleotide ribosomal RNA is filed under the name uncultured bacterium. RNAcentral's name for it is "partial 16S ribosomal RNA". It matches the Rfam family "Bacterial small subunit ribosomal RNA", at positions 524 to 776 of the family's 1533-position model. The record is from RNAcentral.